GAUGAACGCUGGCGGCGUGCCUAAUACAUGCAAGUCGAGCGAACAGACGAGGAGCUUGCUCCUCUGACGUUAGCGGCGGACGGGUGAGUAACACGUGGAUAACCUACCUAUAAGACUGGGAUAACUUCGGGAAACCGGAGCUAAUACCGGAUAAUAUAUUGAACCGCAUGGUUCAAUAGUGAAAUACGGUUUUGCUGUCUCGUAUAGAUGGAUCCGCGCCGCAUUAGCUAGUUGGUAAGGUAACGGCUUACCAAGGCAACGAUGCGUAGCCGACCUGAGAGGGUGAUCGGCCACACUGGAAGUGAGACACGGUCCAGACUCCUACGGGAGGCAGCAGUAGGGAAUCUUCCGCAGUGGGCGAAAGCCUGACGGAGCAACGCCGCGUGAGUGAUGAAGGUCUUCGGAUCGUAAAACUCUGUUAUUAGGGAAGAACCAAUGUGUAAGUAACUAUGCACGUCUUGACGGUACCUAAUCAGAAAGCCACGGCUAACUACGUG
This 497-nucleotide ribosomal RNA is filed under the name uncultured bacterium. RNAcentral describes it as "partial 16S ribosomal RNA". It matches the Rfam family "Bacterial small subunit ribosomal RNA", at positions 28 to 507 of the family's 1533-position model. The record is from RNAcentral.